GAAAUGCGAUACUUGGUGUGAAUUGCAGAUUUGUGAAUCAUCGAAUCUUUGAACGCAAAUUGCACUCCUUGGUAUUCCGGGGAGUAUGCCUGUUUGAGGGUCGCCAAAUCAACAUCGAAAUUCAUUUGCUUUUGUAAAUGUUUAUUCGGAUUUGAGCCGUCUUUUAUUUUUUUUAAUUCAAGUGGCUUAAAAUUUACUUUUUGGUAUCGAAAAACGUUAUUUUACGAUCAAAUUGAUUAAAAAAACAAACGUUUCGAAUGCCGUCUUUUAGUGUAAUACGUUUGACCGUGUUGUUAAUCAUGGUUUCAUUCGUAUACGAUUGUUUCAAUUUUUGACCUCAAAUCAGGUAAGAACACCCGCUGAACUUAA
This 369-nucleotide unclassified non-coding RNA is filed under the name uncultured Glomeraceae. RNAcentral describes it as "sequence contains ITS1". The stretch from base 1 to 103 matches the Rfam family "5.8S ribosomal RNA", at positions 50 to 154 of the family's 154-position model. Lineage: Eukaryota; Fungi; Glomeromycota; Glomeromycetes; Glomerales; Glomeraceae. The record is from RNAcentral.